This 498-nucleotide ribosomal RNA is filed under the name Drechslera erythrospila. RNAcentral describes it as "eukaryotic LSU rRNA". It matches the Rfam family "Eukaryotic large subunit ribosomal RNA", at positions 96 to 598 of the family's 3401-position model. The record is from RNAcentral. Lineage: Eukaryota; Fungi; Ascomycota; Dothideomycetes; Pleosporales; Pleosporaceae.
AAGCGGCAACAGCUCAAAUUUGAAAUCUGGCUCUUUCAGGGUCCGAGUUGUAAUUUGCAGAGGGCGCUUUGGCUUUGGCAGCGGUCCAAGUUCCUUGGAACAGGACGUCACAGAGGGUGAGAAUCCCGUACGUGGUCGCUAGCUAUUGCCGUGUAAAGCCCCUUCGACGAGUCGAGUUGUUUGGGAAUGCAGCUCUAAAUGGGAGGUAAAUUUCUUCUAAAGCUAAAUACUGGCCAGAGACCGAUAGCGCACAAGUAGAGUGAUCGAAAGAUGAAAAGCACUUUGGAAAGAGAGUCAAACAGCACGUGAAAUUGUUGAAAGGGAAGCGCUUGCAGCCAGACUUGCUUGCAGUUGCUCAUCCGGACUUUUGUCCGGUGCACUCUUCUGCAGGCAGGCCAGCAUCAGUUUGGGCGGUGGGAUAAAGGUCUCUGUCACGUACCUCUCUUCGGGGAGGCCUUAUAGGGGAGACGACAUACCACCAGCCUGGACUGAGGUCCG